UUAAGUUAGAAAGGGCGCACGGUGAAUGCCUUGGCACUAGGAGCCGAUGAAGGACGGGACUAACACCGAUAUGCUUCGGGGAGCUGUAAGUGAGCUUUGAUCCGGAGAUUUCCGAAUGGGGAAACCCACUGUUCGUAAUGGAACAGUAUCUUUAUCUGAAUACAUAGGAUAUUGAAGGCAGACCCGGGGAACUGAAACAUCUAAGUACCCGGAGGAAGAGAAAGCAAAUGCGAUUUCCUGAGUAGCGGCGAGCGAAACGGAAUUAGCCCAAACCAAGAGGCUUGCCUCUUGGGGUUGUAGGACACUCUAUACGGAGUUACAAAGGAACGAAGUAAAUGAAGCGACCUGGAAAGGUCCGUCGAAGAAGGUAACAACCCUGUAGUUGAAACUUCGUUCCCUCUUGAGUGGAUCCUGAGUACGGCGGAACACGUGAAAUUCCGUCGGAAGCUGGGAGGACCAUCUCCCAAGGCUAAAUACUACCUAGUGACCGAUAGUGAACCAGUACCGUGAGGGAAAGGUGAAAAGCACCCCGGAAGGGGAGUGAAAGAGAUCCUGAAACCGUGUGCCUACAAGUAGUCAGAGCCCGUUAACGGGUGAUGGCGUGCCUUUUGUAGAAUGAACCGGCGAGUUACGAUCCCAUGCAAGGUUAAGCUGAUAAGGCGGAGCCGUAGCGAAAGCGAGUCUGAAUAGGGCGUUUAGUAUGUGGUUGUAGACCCGAAACCAGGUGAUCUACCCAUGUCCAGGGUGAAGUUCAGGUAACACUGAAUGGAGGCCCGAACCCACGCACGUUGAAAAGUGCGGGGAUGAGGUGUGGGUAGCGGAGAAAUUCCAAUCGAACCUGGAGAUAGCUGGUUCUCUCCGAAAUAGCUUUAGGGCUAGCCUCAUGUUGUGAGAGUCUUGGAGGUAGAGCACUGAUUGGACUAGGGGCCCCCAACGGGUUACCGAAUUCAGUCAAACUCCGAAUGCCAAAGACUUAUCCAUGGGAGUCAGACUGCGAGUGAUAAGAUCCGUAGUCAAAAGGGAAACAGCCCAGACCACCAGCUAAGGUCCCCAAGUAUACGUUAAGUGGAAAAGGAUGUGGAGUUGCUUAGACAACCAGGAUGUUGGCUUAGAAGCAGCCACCAUUUAAAGAGUGCGUAAUAGCUCACUGGUCGAGUGACUCUGCGCCGAAAAUGUACCGGGGCUAAACGUAUCACCGAAGCUGUGGAUUGACAUCUUUGAUGUCAGUGGUAGGAGAGCGUUCUAAGUGCUGUGAAGUCAGACCGUAAGGACUGGUGGAGCGCUUAGAAGUGAGAAUGCCGGUAUGAGUAGCGAAAGACAAGUGAGAAUCUUGUCCACCGAAUGCCUAAGGUUUCCUGAGGAAGGCUCGUCCGCUCAGGGUUAGUCGGGACCUAAGCCGAGGCUGAAAAGCGUAGGCGAUGGCCAACAGGUUGAUAUUCCUGUACCACCUCCCCGCCGUUUGAGUAAUGGGGGGACGCAGUAGGAUAGGGUAAGCGCGCUGCUGGAUAUGCGCGUUCAAGCAGUUAGGCUGAUGAGUAGGCAAAUCCGCUCAUCAUAAAGGCUGAGCUGUGAUGACGAGGGAAUUAUAGUACCGAAGUUCCUGAUUCCACACUGCCAAGAAAAGCCUCUAGCGAGGCGGGAGGUGCCCGUACCGCAAACCGACACAGGUAGGCGAGGAGAGAAUCCUAAGGUGAUCGAGAGAACUCUCGUUAAGGAACUCGGCAAAAUGACCCCGUAACUUCGGGAGAAGGGGUGCUCUGGUAGGGUGUAUAGCCCGAGAGAGCCGCAGUGAAUAGGCCCAGGCGACUGUUUAGCAAAAACACAGGUCUCUGCGAAGCCGCAAGGCGAAGUAUAGGGGCUGACGCCUGCCCGGUGCUGGAAGGUUAAGAGGAGGGGUUAUCCUUUGGGAGAAGCUCUGAAUCGAAGCCCCAGUAAACGGCGGCCGUAACUAUAACGGUCCUAAGGUAGCGAAAUUCCUUGUCGGGUAAGUUCCGACCCGCACGAAAGGCGUAACGAUCUGGGCACUGUCUCAACGAGAGACUCGGUGAAAUUAUAGUACCUGUGAAGAUGCAGGUUACCCGCGACAGGACGGAAAGACCCCGUGGAGCUUUACUGUAGCCUGAUAUUGAAUUUUGGUACAGCUUGUACAGGAUAGGUAGGAGCCUGAGAAGCCGGAGCGCUAGCUUCGGUGGAGGCGUCGGUGGGAUACUACCCUGGCUGUAUUGAAAUUCUAACCCGCGGCCCUGAUCGGGCCGGGAGACAGUGUCAGGUGGGCAGUUUGACUGGGGCGGUCGCCUCCUAAAAUGUAACGGAGGCGCCCAAAGGUUCCCUCAGAAUGGUUGGAAAUCAUUCGUAGAGUGUAAAGGCACAAGGGAGCUUGACUGCGAGACCUACAAGUCGAGCAGGGACGAAAGUCGGGCUUAGUGAUCCGGUGGUUCCGCAUGGAAGGGCCAUCGCUCAACGGAUAAAAGCUACCCCGGGGAUAACAGGCUUAUCUCCCCCAAGAGUCCACAUCGACGGGGAGGUUUGGCACCUCGAUGUCGGCUCAUCGCAUCCUGGGGCUGUAGUCGGUCCCAAGGGUUGGGCUGUUCGCCCAUUAAAGCGGUACGCGAGCUGGGUUCAGAACGUCGUGAGACAGUUCGGUCCCUAUCCGUCGUGGGCGUAGGAAAUUUGAGAGGAGCUGUCCUUAGUACGAGAGGACCGGGAUGGACACACCGCUGGUGUACCAGUUGUCUUGCCAAAGGCAUCGCUGGGUAGCUAUGUGUGGACGGGAUAAGUGCUGAAAGCAUCUAAGCAUGAAGCCCCCCUCAAGAUGAGAUUUCCCAUAGCGCAAGCUAGUAAGAUCCCUGAAAGAUGAUCAGGUUGAUAGGUCAGAGGUGGAAGCGUGGCGACAUGUGUAGCUGACUGAUACUAAUCGAUCGAGGACUUAACCAA
RNAcentral lists this ribosomal RNA (2934 nucleotides) under Priestia megaterium. Its description in RNAcentral is "bacterial LSU rRNA". It matches the Rfam family "Bacterial large subunit ribosomal RNA". The record is from RNAcentral. Lineage: Bacteria; Bacillati; Bacillota; Bacilli; Caryophanales; Bacillaceae. RNAcentral also lists the same sequence under 4 other names.